This is a long non-coding RNA of Mauremys reevesii (Reeves's turtle), 471 nucleotides long. RefSeq lists it as uncharacterized. The record is from RefSeq and is a predicted model, not a curated record. NCBI's taxonomy places the organism in Eukaryota, Metazoa, Chordata, Testudines, Geoemydidae. The transcript has 5 exons.
ACAGAUGAAACAGACAGACGAACUAUCGCAAGAAGGUGUGGAUACAACAGUACAUUGAGAGCCGAGAAGGAAGGACUGUGCUGGAGUACUAAUUCUGAACAUGGCACUAGGUCUUUCAUGAACCCAAGGAGCUGAUAUAUUUCCAGAAACCCACCCCAUGGUACAUGCUCAGGAUGUUGCUAAGAAGAAUGGAGAUAGUAAGUCUAAAUCAGGAUCUGGCAACGGACAUUCGUGCUCAUCUCCUGCGAGGAUGCGGAGGAAAUCCAGACAAGCCAGGCCUUCUUUUUCGGUGACAGAUGCUAGAAUCAAAGAAUUAUAGACCCAUCAGGUGCUUUGUGCUGCUACUUAUGGGCAGUUUCCUCCUUCCCUCCCCCAUCAGCUAGGUAAUUUGCAUUCACACAGAGGCUUUCUUGGCUUGCCUCUGGAUCCAAAGCAUCAGCAGCUCAGAGACUGUUUUAAAAGGGACAGGUU